This 112-nucleotide transfer RNA is filed under the name Yersinia pestis biovar Mediaevalis str. K1973002. RNAcentral's name for it is "tRNA-Ile". The stretch from base 2 to 74 matches the Rfam family "tRNA". From Rfam's summary of the family: Transfer RNA (tRNA) molecules are approximately 80 nucleotides in length. Their secondary structure includes four short double-helical elements and three loops (D, anti-codon, and T loops). The record is from RNAcentral. Lineage: Bacteria; Pseudomonadati; Pseudomonadota; Gammaproteobacteria; Enterobacterales; Yersiniaceae.
UGUCCCCAUCGUCUAGAGGCCUAGGACACUGCCCUUUCACGGCUGUAACAGGGGUUCGAAUCCCCUUGGGGACGCCAAUCCGAUAAUGAGUGAAAGACAUUAUCACCGGUUC